UACGGGGGGGAGCAAGCGUUGUUCGGAUUUACUGGGCGUAAAGGGCGCGUAGGCGGUCGUGACAAGUCACUUGUGAAAUCUCCGGGCUUAACUCGGAACGGUCAAGUGAUACUGUCGGACUAGAGUACAGAAGGGGCAACUGGAAUUCUCGGUGUAGCGGUGAAAUGCGUAGAUAUCCGGAGGAACACCGGUGGCGAAGGCGGCGACCUGGUCCUUAUACUGACGCUGAGGCGCGAAAGCGUGGGAGCAACAGGAUAG
Molecule: ribosomal RNA, 258 nt
Filed under: uncultured bacterium
Lineage: Bacteria
Description: partial 16S ribosomal RNA
Rfam family: Bacterial small subunit ribosomal RNA
Source: RNAcentral